GGCAGUAUAGCAUAGUGGUAAGGUACAGGGCUUGUAACUGAGAGGUUGCUGGUUUGAUUCCCCGCUGGGCCA
RNAcentral lists this transfer RNA (72 nucleotides) under Megalops atlanticus (tarpon). RNAcentral describes it as "tRNA-OTHER". Lineage: Eukaryota; Metazoa; Chordata; Actinopteri; Elopiformes; Megalopidae. The record is from RNAcentral.